UCUUGCUGCCAAGCACAGAAUGAUCUGAGAAAUGAAGCAGGGUUAGGCCUGGUUAGUACUUAGAAUGAAGCAGGGUUAGGCCUGGUUAGUACUUGGAUAGGAAACUGCCUUAGAAUACCAGCUGCUGUAGGCU
This 133-nucleotide ribosomal RNA is filed under the name Echinops telfairi (small Madagascar hedgehog). Lineage: Eukaryota; Metazoa; Chordata; Mammalia; Afrosoricida; Tenrecidae. The record is from RNAcentral.